GACGAACGCUGGCGGCGUGCUUAACACAUGCAAGUCGAACGGAAAGGCCCUGCUUUUGUGGGGUGCUCGAGUGGCGAACGGGUGAGUAACACGUGAGUAACCUGCCCUUGACUUUGGGAUAACUUCAGGAAACUGGGGCUAAUACCGGAUAGGAGCUCCUGCUGCAUGGUGGGGGUUGGAAAGUUUGGGCGGUUGGGGAUGGACUCGCGGCUUAUCAGCUUGUUGGUGGGGUAGUGGCUUACCAAGGCUUUGACGGGUAGCCGGCCUGAGAGGGUGACCGGCCACAUUGGGACUGAGAUACGGCCCAGACUCCUACGGGAGGCAGCAGGGGGGAAUAUUGCACAAUGGGCGGAAGCCUGAUGCAGCAGCGCCGCGUGCGGGAUGACGGCCUUCGGGUUGUAAACCGCUUUCGCCUGUGACGAAGCGUGAGUGACGGUAAUGGGUAAAGAAGCACCGGCUAACUACGUG
This 468-nucleotide ribosomal RNA is filed under the name uncultured bacterium. RNAcentral's name for it is "partial 16S ribosomal RNA". It matches the Rfam family "Bacterial small subunit ribosomal RNA", at positions 28 to 507 of the family's 1533-position model. The record is from RNAcentral.